GACCAUCUUGUAGCGCCAAAGGAACGAGGGGCUUGUACGGUGGUUUAUCAUUAUUGUGGGUAAUUUUGUUUUGAUUUGGGAAAGAAAAUGAGCUUUGAGAGGAGCAUUUGAUUGAGGACUUGUGUCUCUGAGUCACUAGUGGUGAUGCAAAUUUUCUAGAGCAACCUGAAAUUGAAGUUAAAAUAAAAACAGAUAUGUUAAAAAAGAAAAUGAUAUAUAUAUAUAUAUAUAGGGGAAACAAGUAGCAAGAGAUCACUUACCAGGACUUUGCAAAGGAUUGAAUUUUGGAGCGAGGUUUAAGCACUGCAUUUGAAGCAUGAUUGAUAUUUGCUCUGUUUCUUCUUCCUCUU
Molecule: long non-coding RNA, 350 nt
Filed under: Citrus sinensis (sweet orange)
Lineage: Eukaryota; Viridiplantae; Streptophyta; Magnoliopsida; Sapindales; Rutaceae
Description: long non-coding RNA (CSIN_LNC001105)
Source: RNAcentral